Brachypodium distachyon (stiff brome) is the source of this 132-nucleotide non-coding RNA. The record is from Rfam. NCBI's taxonomy places the organism in Eukaryota, Viridiplantae, Streptophyta, Magnoliopsida, Poales, Poaceae.
UUGGUACUCCGUCCAACAAAAGAUGUCUCAAAUUUGUAAAAAUUUGAAUGUAUCUAGACAUGACUUAGUGUAUAGAUGCAUUUAAAUUUAAUCAAGGUUGAGACAUCCUUUGUUGGACGGAGGAAGUAGCUU